CUGCGAAAGCCGGAUUAAUACCGCAUACGCUCUGCGGAGGAAAGCGGGGGAUCCUUCGGGACCUCGCGCUACAGGGGCGGCCGAUGGCAGAUUAGCUAGUUGGUGGGGUAAAGGCCUACCAAGGCGACGAUCUGUAGCUGGUCUGAGAGGACGACCAGCCACACUGGGACUGAGACACGGCCCAGACUCCUACGGGAGGCAGCAGUGGGGAAUUUUGGACAAUGGGCGCAAGCCUGAUCCAGCAAUGCCGCGUGUGUGAAGAAGGCCUUCGGGUUGUAAAGCACUUUUGUCCGGAGAGAAAACCUCGUGGUUAAUACCCGUGGGGGAUGACGGUACCGGAAGAAUAAGCACCGGCUAACUACGUGCCAGCAGCCGCGGUAAUACGUAGGGUGCAAGCGUUAAUCGGAAUUACUGGGCGUAAAGCGUGCGCAGGCGGUUCGCUAAGACAGAUGUGAAAUCCCCGGGCUUAACCUGGGGACUGCAUUUGUGACUGGCGAGCUAGAGUAUGGCA
This 511-nucleotide ribosomal RNA is filed under the name uncultured Burkholderia sp. RNAcentral describes it as "bacterial SSU rRNA". It matches the Rfam family "Bacterial small subunit ribosomal RNA", at positions 149 to 653 of the family's 1533-position model. The record is from RNAcentral. Lineage: Bacteria; Pseudomonadati; Pseudomonadota; Betaproteobacteria; Burkholderiales; Burkholderiaceae.